This 121-nucleotide ribosomal RNA is filed under the name Echinococcus multilocularis. Its description in RNAcentral is "partial small subunit ribosomal RNA". The record is from RNAcentral. Lineage: Eukaryota; Metazoa; Platyhelminthes; Cestoda; Cyclophyllidea; Taeniidae.
GAGUGAUUCUUGUUAGGGGAAGAUGCAUAGCAAAGGAUGGUCCACCUAUUAAUUUACUCUUUUUAUGUUGGAGUACGUCAGGUUUACUAUUAUUGUCUAGUUGUGUAAGCUCGAGUUACGG